UUUUAUUCCUAAAAUCUCUCCAUAUCUCUAGUAGUUACAAAACUUAUAUCCAUUUGAUUUUCACUAGGAAUCUCCCUCAGGUUUUUCAAUUUCAAAGUUUUUAAUGGAUCCAAGCGAUUGCAUGAUCCAUUAGCGAUGAACGACAAGAGUAUUGUCAAACCAAAGAAAAAGGUUGGAGAAACUCCAAAAAAGGGAGAAGAAAAGUGACAUCUUUUUUCCCAACCUGCACUUCCUAAGAUUAUCUUCAAUGUAUCAUUCACUCUCCAUUACAUCAUAUGUUUGAGAUUAGACAGGUAUAACCAAAAGUCGCUUGAUACAAUGUUUUGCAAUGGGGAGUUGGGAGACCACACAGGAAUCUGUUCAGAUGGAUAUAUUAUACUUCGUCAAUCUUUCAUGUUAUGCCAUCUUGGUGAGACCAUCAUACGUAUCGAAGAGUUUCUAAUGGUUGAAGAUGGUAGGUAUAAAUUGUAUUUUUGGGGUCAGAUUGCAUUCUAUAAGCUAAUUACAUCACUCAGAUAAGACUUCAACCAAAAUAAAUGAAUGUAUCGCUUAUUUGAUAUGCCUUAUACACUCAACGUAUGAAUUUACGAAUGUGAAUCUAGUCUAAAUCCAGAGUUUGCUGUUAAAGUAGCAAAUGAUUUCCCAAGAUUUGUAAUUGGACGGUCCUGAUUGUAAAUCUUGUUGUAAAUAAUAUUUUUUGUAUUAUACAUAAUAUUGCCAUAACAUUCAACCAUUUAAAAUGCAAAAUGCAUGUUCAAACAUUGUACUAACACCAGAUGAAGUGGAAGUCCUUGACUUACCUGAUGUUCAAGAUGCUCAUAGUGCUGAACCAUCCACAACAGCUGUUCAUGCAAACAAAAGAUAAGUCAGGUUUUGAGAAUUUCUCAACAAGCCCUCCUGGUCGUUUAUUGAGAAAAUCAUCACGUGUAUCUAGUACAUCAUCUCCGCCACCACCCAAAAGAAGAAAGAAAAUUGAUACACCUAAAAGAAUUGAAACCUAAAUUGUUAGAGCAGUUAAGACCGCCAUUAAACCAGUCAUUCGCAAUGCAGAUGAAGAACCUACCCCACAUGCUAAUGUAUCUUCUGCCCAUGUCUCUUCACAAGUCUAAAAAAAUAAGUCUGUGUAUCUCGAUAUUGAUGAACUGAAACAACAUAUGAAGGAAUACGUAAGUAAUGAUAUCAAUUUUUAUGUUUAUUCAUAAAUAUAAAACUAAAUGUUAAAUUUUUUUAAUAGGUUGAAAGUAAAUUUGAGUAUCUUGUGAAUUUGAUAAUGGCAAGUAACUCUGAGGUGAUGAGUUCUAGGUAUAGGGAGGACGACCAACAACCAAAGGAGAUGGGAAGCAAGUCAACACGUACAUGGUUGAAGCUUUCGAUAAAGAAGGCAAUGAUGGACAUCAAACAAGUACCUUUAAGUUUGAUCAACAAUCAACCUCACGGGUACAAAUGGAUUUUGCCAACAACAAUCAAAACAUUGGUGUACCUGAUUUUGAUGUUGAAAAUCAGACUGAAGAUACAUUGAAGAAUCAUCAAGAAAUGAAGGACGUUUGAGAACAUCAAUCCUCAGAUGCAUUUAUUCAUCAUUAUACUACAGAAACAUCUGAGCAUAAGAAAGAUGAUCCAUCAUCACAAAUUCCUCAUCAUUUAUUCGAAGGAACAAUGAAUGAAGAUGCUUUAUUAAUGUUCAACACAACACCAAUCAAUCUGUGCCAAAUUUAUUAUAUUUGAUACAUCGGAUCUGCAACAUCUGGUACAAUAUCAUCUGAUACUCAAGAAGUCAUGAAUACACUUAUUGUUGAUCUAGGAAGAUUGUCUAUUUCAUGCUAAACUAGUAAAUAGUGCAAAUUCACAGGAGUUAACCAACAAUCAAAAUUCGCUUUCGGACAGUUAAUUAUCCACUGAUAUUUCAAUAACAGAGAUUUCUAUCCGAAGCGUUACAAAUACUCCUCAUGCACGUAUCAGGAUGCCUUCAAAAAACUGCAAAUCUCCCUAUUUAACUUCAUUUGGGGCAAGUGAAAAAGGAGAAGAGGCCAUAGAGGAUGUAAUUCAUCCAAAUUUUUCAUUUGAAGGAUGUGAGAUCACAAACCGAGCUCCUUCAUAUCUGAUUGAUGAGUUUGUUGAGUGAGUUACUACAUGUCUUCUUAAAACUAAUGCUAAAAAGAAACCAUCAGAGGGUAAGUACAAAGCAAGAGCCUCUUCAUUGGAUUUUGAAAUGAUGGAUUAUGUUGUUGCAUAUCCGUCGAAUAAAAAUUGAUUUUAUGCCAUGUCCCAGCCCUAAAACUGCUGGACUAAUCAAGUAAUUUUGACAUAUAUAUUUAAAUUUCACCUGUCUGCAAAUGUAUCAUAUAUAGGUUUCUUAAUGUG
Molecule: non-coding RNA, 2361 nt
Organism: Solanum lycopersicum (tomato)
Lineage: Eukaryota; Viridiplantae; Streptophyta; Magnoliopsida; Solanales; Solanaceae
Source: RefSeq, a predicted model, not a curated record